Molecule: ribosomal RNA, 446 nt
Filed under: uncultured soil bacterium
Lineage: Bacteria
Description: bacterial SSU rRNA
Rfam family: Bacterial small subunit ribosomal RNA
Source: RNAcentral
AGAUUGAACGCUGGCGGCAUGCCUAACACAUGCAAGUCGAACGGGAGUAGCAAUACUCUAGUGGCGGACGGGUGAGGAAUACGUAGGAAUUUGCCCUUAAGUGGGGGAUAACCCGGGGAAACCCGGAUUAAUACCGCAUGACCUCGAAAGAGCAAAGUGGGGGAUCGCAAGACCUCACGCUUUUGGAGAAGCCUACGUCGGAUUAGCUAGUUGGUGAGGUAAUGGCUCACCAAGGCGACGAUCCGUAACUGGUCUGAGAGGAUGAUCAGUCACACCGGAACUGAGACACGGUCCGGACUCCUACGGGAGCAGCAGUGGGGAAUAUGGACAAGUGGGACGCAAGCCUAGAAUCCAGCAAUGCCGCGUGUGUGAAGAGGUCCUUCGGUUGUAAGCUAACGUUUAAGUUAGGGAAGAAAAACGUACGCUACGUAACACAACGUGACGUC